AUAGACUUAAUAAAUGGAUUGAAUUUGUAUAUUUGGAUCAAGAUAAACCAGGUAUAGGUUUAGAUCAGGGUAAAGCUAAAGCUUCGGAUUAGUCGACUUUGUUUCUACGCCUUAAUCGUCGAGGUAAGUUCGUAUGAUUAUAUAUCAUUUAAUGCUAUGUUUUGAUCUAUAUGUUAAUAUGUUGAUUGCUAUGUAACUGAAUAAUGUAAAUCCAACGAUUUUAUGAUGACAUCAAGCCCUAUUUGAACCUUAGAAAUUCA
RNAcentral lists this long non-coding RNA (260 nucleotides) under Gossypium barbadense (sea-island cotton). RNAcentral's name for it is "long non-coding RNA (GBAR_LNC013568)". The record is from RNAcentral. Lineage: Eukaryota; Viridiplantae; Streptophyta; Magnoliopsida; Malvales; Malvaceae.